CAAGUGCGGUGGGGCGGCAAUAGUGACCACGGAAAUAAUCAGAAUUGCUUCUAAUUCAGCUCCUACUAUAUUCCCGUCAUCCCUGAGCCUCACAAUCAUCCUCCAAGGAUAUUCGCUUUGGCAGAUGAUUAGAAUACGUGCUGACUUGAUAGCCGCAACUGUCCUGAUACGAAAGUACGCCGGCCUGGCUGGGCGUGGUGGCUCACGCCUGUAAUCCGAGGAUUUUGGGAGGCCGAGGCGGGCGGAUCACUUGAUGUCAGGAGUUUGAGACCAGCAUGUCCAACAUGGUGAAACCCCGUCUGUACUAAAAAUACAAUAAUUAGCCGAGCAUGAUGGCAUGUGCCUGUAAUCCCAGCUAUUUGGGAGGCUGAGGCAAGAGAAUCGCUUGAACCUGGAAGGCAGAGGUUGCAGUUACUUUCCCGACAUUGCACCACUGCACUCCAGCCUUGGCGACAAGAGCGAAAUUUUGUCUCAAAAAAGAAAGAAAGAAAGCACUCAGGCCUGUCCGAGGACCACAGCAGUGGACAUGGAGGGAGGAGGCUGGGGGUAGUUGAAUUGGUGUGAUAUGUCACUGAGUAAACAAAGGAAGGGACAGAAAGAGAACUGCAAAGUGUCAAAAGCCUGGACAACAGAGAGAAAGCAUCCUUGUCAUAUCAUUUAAAGCACCUGUUGGGCCAAAUAGGGAGCACCUUUCAGAAUCCAUGUGCACAAGAUCUCAGCAAUUCUACGUCCAAGAAUGUAACCUACAUCCAAGAAUGUACUGGAAUUUAAUUCCACAUCCAAGAAUCCCCAUAGGUAGCAAAGAUGUAUAUUUAAGGGUAUUCUCUCAGCUUUGUUUUUAUGUUAGGAGAUUGGGAACAACCUAAAUGCCCAUCAG
Molecule: long non-coding RNA, 877 nt
Filed under: Pan troglodytes (chimpanzee)
Lineage: Eukaryota; Metazoa; Chordata; Mammalia; Primates; Hominidae
Description: long non-coding RNA NONPTRT011723
Source: RNAcentral